Molecule: ribosomal RNA, 773 nt
Filed under: uncultured bacterium
Lineage: Bacteria
Description: bacterial SSU rRNA
Rfam family: Bacterial small subunit ribosomal RNA
Source: RNAcentral
AGAGUUUGAUCCUGGCUCAGGACGAACGCUGGCGGCGUGCUUAACACAUGCAAGUCGAACGGAAAGGCCCUUCGGGGUACUCGAGUGGCGAACGGGUGAGUAACACGUGGGUGAUCUGCCCUGCACUUUGGGAUAAGCCUGGGACACUGGGUCUAAUACCGAAUAUGACCAUGCGCCUCCUGGUGUGUGGUGGAAAGCUUUUGCGGUGUGGGAUGGGCCCGCGGCCUAUCAGCUUGUUGGUGGGGUAAUGGCCUACCAAGGCGACGACGGGUAGCCGGCCUGAGAGGGUGACCGGCCACGCUGGGACUGAGAUACGGCCCAGACUCCUACGGGAGGCAGCAGUGGGGAAUAUUGCACAAUGGGCGCAAGCCUGAUGCAGCGACGCCGCGUGAGGGAUGACGGCCUUCGGGUUGUAAACCUCUUUCAGCACAGACGAAGCGCAAGUGACGGUAUGUGCAGAAGAAGGACCGGCCAACUACGUGUCAGCAGCCGCGGUAAUACGUAGGGUCCGAGCGUUGUCCGGAAUUACUGGGCGUAAAGAGCUCGUAGGUGGUUUGUCGCGUUGUUCGUGAAAACUCACAGCUUAACUGUGGGCGUGCGGGCGAUACGGGCAGACUUGAGUACUGCAGGGGAGACUGGAAUUCCUGGUGUAGCGGUGGAAUGCGCAGAUAUCAGGAGGAACACCGGUGGCGAAGGCGGGUCUCUGGGCAGUAACUGACGCUGAGGAGCGAAAGCGUGGGGAGCGAACAGGAUUAGAUACCCUGGUAGUCCAA